Molecule: long non-coding RNA, 917 nt
Filed under: Monodelphis domestica (gray short-tailed opossum)
Lineage: Eukaryota; Metazoa; Chordata; Mammalia; Didelphimorphia; Didelphidae
Description: lncRNA (ENSMODG00000040857.1)
Source: RNAcentral
GUCCUGACAGAGCAUCACUUUUUUUUACUGUAAACCACAUGAAUCCCAGGGUUCAGAGACUUAUUUAAAUGCCCAUGUGAUGGUCCCAGUUUUGAGGAAAAAAAUCAGAAAAAAAUUCUUUAUCAGACCAGGUUUCCAAAACCACCAUGUCACAUCCCUGCUGAAAUAGUUGGGAUAGUGAUAAUACCCUGAUGGCUUUAUAGCCUGGAUCUCAGAUAUAGGUUGAAUCAUAUUUACUAGCAUCAAAUCUGGAAUGUAACUCCAAAGAAGGACUCAAAAGGCCAGCAUGUUUACAUUUAUUAAAACUAAUAGAGAAGCUGAAAAUCAAAGUCAGUCUUCUGGUUUCUUGAAGGUAGUUAGAAAUAUUACUUCAUUGCAGAGGUCUUAAAAAUGACACCUUAAAAUAUUUCCUCUUUUGCUCUUUACAGGACCUGAAAUUUCACUCUCUCCAGCUCUUUCAGGCUUUAAAGAGUUCUAUGAAACUAAGAACUGCAGAUAGGAGUGAUAUUUUAAGUAACUCACCAGAUAUCAUGAAUGUGACUCCUGCCUUCUUUUCCUCAGUUGAUGCUCCAUCCACUUACCUUCACCAUUGUAAUGUCCCUGAACAAUCUGCAGGGAUCUAGGAGAAAAACACUAUCCACAAGCAGAGGACAAACUGUGGGAGUGGAAACACCGAGGAAAAGCAACUGCUUGACUACGGCAGUUGAGGGGACAUGUCUGAGAAGAGACUCUAAAUGAACACUCUGAUGCAAAUACUAACAACAUGGCAAAGGGUUAGAAUCAAGAACACAUGUGAUAUCCAGUGGAAUCACACGUCGGCUAAGGGGGGGAGGAAAAGAAACUGAUCUUUGUCUCUAAUGAAUAAUGCUUGGAAAUGAUCAAAUAAAAUAUUAUUUAAAAAAAAAGAAAAAUAUAAG